AUGAGAUGUAUUUUUUCUAUAUUUCUAUAACCUUUGCCAUUUCAUUGAACACAUUGUACAUUGGACAUAAUAUUAGUAACAUAUUCUUGAGAACUUUUAUUUUGGAAUGAUGCUAACUCUGUCUCUUGCCAAUUCUAAUACCAGGUUCCAAGUAAUAACUCUACAAUACAAAGAGAAUUGAUUAUCUAUUUUAGGGCUAGGCUGUGAACUUCACAACUCAUUUGAGUACCUAUGCUCAUUGAAUUUCCUUGAAAAUAAUUUGUCCCUGGUGCCCAGUGAUAAUUCAUUUGGGACCUUCAUGAGUAAAAGGAAAGAAAAGUGUAGUGAAAUGCUAAGGAUCAGCAAAAUGAACAAAAGGAGAGUUUGAUCCUGGAAAGAAAAAGAGACCUGGUUUGAUUAAGUUAUACUGACUAAGCAGUCCACUCAUCUUUCUAUUUUGGGAGAGAUGUGAGGGCAUCUGAAGAAGACCAUGGAUGGACUAGGAGAACCAUAUUUUUGGGCUAAGGGUAGGAAGCAGAAAGGCAAAAUGAAGAGGAAAAUCAUAAGAAAUUUGACUGAAGCAAAGAAAAAAAGCAAAUUCCCAAAUGUGCUAAUCUUUGAAAGUUAUAGUCUUUCCCAAACUAUGGAAGUUACCAGGAAGUGAUCAGGAAGACUAGGAGCUAUUAUUGACUACAAAUGAAUCAUAUAAUGGCUCUGUUGCAGUUGUGUGACUUCCAAACCAGGAAUUAAACAUUGUUUUUAAGAAAAAAAAAACAUUUCCUAUGUUAGUCUCUCAGCAAAAUGUACAUGUUUUGGAGACUUCAAAGUUAUUAUAUGAGUUCACAUUUAGUAACAGCUUAUUAAUAACCCUCAAGCUGUCAGAAUCUCUAUAGUUACCAUUUACAAUUUUAUACUGUGAAAAAAAUACAGAUCAGUGAAAGCAUAAAGAUAAAUCAGAAUUUCCUUUGAAGAGGGUCUGAGGCCUGGGAGAAUCUCUACUGUUUAUUGAAAAAUGAGGCAUGUGUAAAAUAGUUGGCUAAAUUUCACUGAUCUUCCCAAUGUGAACAAAUAUACUAUGUAUAUUGUGUGUAUUUCUAGAAUUCAAUGGCAGCUGCUGGUGGUGUUGUAAUUAGAAAUCUAUAUAGAAUAUAGAUGUUUUAGAAAGAUGGUGCCAAUUCCAAAACAUUUGUGUGGACUACAAGUGCUUGUACUUACUUUUUUCUGCACUUAUAACUGAUUUGGUUUUAAAAUUGUGUGCGCGUAUUUGUUCCUUUUCUGUUGUUACAGCUUGUACUAUUAAAAUAAUGGAGAAUGUUAAAUUAUUUUGAUGUGAAUUGCAAAUGAUUUUUCAUAAAGUAUACCAUUUUUAUCAGCAUUGUUUUGCUUUGUACUUGUAUAAAUGUGUUUAUUUUAGCAUUUUAAUAUACACUUGCCUGUUUCUCAGUUGUCUAAAUUAUGUUUUAGGUGGUGUUUGUGAAGUCAGUUACUUUUUGAAAAAUAUUAAAAAAA
RNAcentral lists this long non-coding RNA (1488 nucleotides) under Heterocephalus glaber (naked mole-rat). RNAcentral's name for it is "lncRNA (ENSHGLG00100042369.1)". Lineage: Eukaryota; Metazoa; Chordata; Mammalia; Rodentia; Bathyergidae. The record is from RNAcentral.